CCCUUAGAUGUUCUGGGCCGCACGCGCGCUACACUGACGAUGGCAACGAGUUUUUCCUUCGCCGAAAGGUGUGGGUAAUCUUUUGAAACAUCGUCGUGCUGGGGAUAGAUCAUUGCAAUUUUUGAUCUUGAACGAGGAGUUCCUAGUAAGCGCGAGUCACCAGCUCGCGUUGAUUACGUCCCUGCCCUUUGUACACACCGCCCGUCGCUACUACCGAUUGAAUGGUUUAGUGAGGACUCCUGAUUGGCGCCGCCGCCCCGGCAACGGAGCAGCGGACUGCCGAAAAGUUGUUCAAACUUGAUCAUUUAGAGGAAGUAAAAGUCGUAACA
This 329-nucleotide ribosomal RNA is filed under the name uncultured eukaryote. RNAcentral's name for it is "partial 18S ribosomal RNA". It matches the Rfam family "Eukaryotic small subunit ribosomal RNA", at positions 1470 to 1796 of the family's 1831-position model. The record is from RNAcentral.